AGUCAUAACUCAUAACCCUGGUAGAAAUGUUUGAGGUGUUUAAAAUGAAAUGUGAAAACCUUCAUAACAGAUAAAAUAUAUGUAAUAUAUAACUAGCAAGAAAUUUUAGUAAAAAUUAAUCAUUACCAAGAGUGUGUAGUAUUACAACAUGUGUAUUGAAAAGUGGCACCCUAACCCUAUUUGAAGUAGUAAUAAAGUGUGUGAAUAUUAUUUAGUUUUUUUUUUAAAUGUCAGUGAGAAGUUCAAUUAAAAGAAUAAAGAGUUUGAAGAUAUACUGUGUCUCUGUGCCCAAAGUCGCCCUCGAAUAUUAGCAGACAUUAGUGUGUGCCGCCCAACACUUAUGGUAGAUUUUCUACCAAUGUUAUUAGACAGAGAUACGCAAUCAAGAGCGCGCGAAGCGCGCCUUCAUUCCUACUAAUAUAUAAUAAGCGAUGUGCCUCGCGUGCUCAAAUAUUUUAUAAGUUAUGUUAGCGACAAUCGAGAACUGGUAAUUAAUUAAUUACAACCAAAUUUCCUAGCAAAAACAGCGAGAAAAUAAGAUUGCGAUGAUGUUGCUGAAGCGCCCAACAGCUAGCCCAAUGCUGACCGCUUUCUAUUCGACGGUCAAGAAAGAGUCACUUUAAUCCCGAUUAAUACGUACAAAAAACGCGAUAAUCGUUCGUGUGUUACAAAAAAAUCAUCAAUAAUUAUCAUAUAAGUUUUUCUCAUUUUAUACAAUCAAUAUAUGUUAUAGUUUGAGCCGCGUGAAAUUGAAAUGUACAUACGUAUCUCCAUGUCUUCGGUGCGAAUAACGAAAUAUAUAUGCUACUCUUCUUGGGGAGCGACGAUAUAAUAAUAAAUAAUUCUAUAAAUAUUAAAAUAUCUGAUACUAAUUUACUUGCGUUUAAAAUUCUUAUAUAUAGGUAUGGUGUAUCGCAGCUUUAGGGUGCGUCCACAAUUGAGCGUAUACGUUAGGUUUACAAGGGAUUUACGUAGAACAUAACGUUUUGGGCAGUACUGCCAAUCCACUGUAGCAGACUGCAGUUGAAACGAAGGAACACACCUGCUCAAAAUUUAACCUAUAAAAAUGUUUAAAUUUGAAUUGUAUGGUAAUAAAUUGUAAAAUUCUUUUUUCAAAUAAAAUUAUAAAAUUUUGUAAGAGAA
Molecule: long non-coding RNA, 1143 nt
Organism: Nasonia vitripennis (jewel wasp)
Lineage: Eukaryota; Metazoa; Arthropoda; Insecta; Hymenoptera; Pteromalidae
Exons: 2
Source: RefSeq, a predicted model, not a curated record